Molecule: long non-coding RNA, 666 nt
Filed under: Marmota monax (woodchuck)
Lineage: Eukaryota; Metazoa; Chordata; Mammalia; Rodentia; Sciuridae
Source: RNAcentral
UUUUCAGCGGACACAACAUCUCUGUUUGUAUGUGGUGCUGAGGAUCCAACCCAGGCCGCACGCAUACCAGAAGAGCGUGCUACCGCUUGAGCCACAUCCCCAGCCCUCACUUGUUCUUAGUUGACUUAGAAAUCACUAAGUUUGGAGGCCAAACAGCUGGACAAGGCAUUAUUAGUCUCUCACUGACCUUGCUGUAGAUAAUACCUCCGGCAUGUGGUUCAUGAUAAUAAUAUUUGCGUAAGUACUAACUUAGGAACUUUAGGACUUGAAGACUGCUUUUGCUGAAAACACUGACUCUUCAUUUGGACCUGCUGAUGUCUGAUUGGAAUGGGAUAAAAAGGAAUCUCUGCCUUCACAUUCUGUCUCCUUUGUGCCUAUGAUGGGUUGGAGUCUACUCAGCUCUUCAUGUGGACAUGUUGGACAUUUGAGAAAUGUUUUGUCCAAAACUAUAAUAUAGAGAUAAUUGGUCCUAGAUUUGUUUAGUCUCUCUCUCCUCCCUCUAGGGCUAAAGACACCUACCAACAGCCAUUAUUGGAAGUAUAAGACCAUGAAAGGAGUGAAAAGAGGUGGCACUUGAGUUUCUGGAAUGUCUCCACCUAUUCCCAGAAAAGACAAGAGGAUUCCUCCCAUGCAUCAGCCUUUCUCUCUCCCUCAUCAUUCCUGCAU